Long non-coding RNA from Panthera uncia (snow leopard), 947 nucleotides. RefSeq lists it as uncharacterized. NCBI's taxonomy places the organism in Eukaryota, Metazoa, Chordata, Mammalia, Carnivora, Felidae. The transcript is spliced from 8 exons. The record is from RefSeq and is a predicted model, not a curated record.
GAAUGUGUUUAUAACUAUGAAUUCUUCUUUAAGUGAAGUCUUAGUUCCUCCUAUGCUCCAAAUUUUAACAAGUAGUAUUCUCACUUCCAUUCAUAUCAAGAUUUUUUUUAAGGAAGCUUUGAGGUUUGUUUGUUUCUGCCUGACUCACGGAUUUUUGAGAGAUUUUAUUUAAUUUUUAAAUUGUUUAUGUUUCUUUGGUUUUGAAGUCAUUUUCUGAUGAAUUCAUUUCUAAUUGUACCUUUGAUUUUUUUGUUUUAAUUGAUGCAUAAACUGAGAGAAAAAUGCUGAAAAUAAGAACAGGGACUUAGUGACUUUGGAGACAAUAUCAAGCAGGUUAACCCACAUGUACUUGGAGUUCCAAAAUAGGAGAAAGAACCACUUAGAAUGACUGACAGACGAGCUGGAGAGGAAGAUUACAGACCCCUCUUGGCUGAUUCUGUGGAAGCCCUCUGGGUCCCCAGACCCAGCCUGCUGGCAUCAGCACUUCCAUGUGGGUGGCUUCACCAGGCACCCCGGAAGACAGGUUCCCAGCAAGUUCCAGAGCAAGGACUUCCAGAAAAUUCCUCCAGCACAGCACCAGCACAUCUUCUCUUCCAUUCAAUGACAGCUUUGGGUAUACAUUCAAAUGGAAAUAGAAAAGCAUUAAAAAGUGCAGCUUCUCUUUUAUCAUCACUGACUGUACUGAAGAUCCUUUGUCUUCUGGCUUUACUAACCAACCAUUGCAGGGAUGGCUGACUUUUCUCCCCAGGUUGUCUUCACAUGGGAUCACAUCCUCAAAUACUCCAUACUGUUUUCCACAGUGGUUGUGCCAAUUUACAUUUCCACCAAUGAUUUAACAUCACAAAUUUGAAAACAUAAUUUGAAAAUCAUUAGAACCUACAGAAUAUUUUGUUUGCAUGCUCAGAAACACAAACAAGUAUACUGUUCCCCACGACAAUUGUAUUAAA